GUCUAUGGCCAUACCACCCUGAACACACCCAAUCCCAUCUGAACUAAUAAGCUAAGCAGAGUCGGUCUUGGUUAAUACUUGGAUGGGAGACCACCUGGGAAUACCAGGUGCUGUAUAGC
Cricetulus griseus (Chinese hamster) is the source of this 119-nucleotide ribosomal RNA. NCBI's taxonomy places the organism in Eukaryota, Metazoa, Chordata, Mammalia, Rodentia, Cricetidae. The record is from Ensembl.